ACUACGGGUGGCUGCAGUGGGGAAUAUUGCACAAUGGGGGAAACCCUGAUGCAGCGACGCCGCGUGAGUGAAGAAGUAUUUCGGUAUGUAAAGCUCUAUCAGCAGGGAAGAAAAAAGACGGUACCUGACUAAGAAGCCCCGGCUAACUACGUGCCAGCAGCCGCGGUAAUACGUAGGGGGCAAGCGUUAUCCGGAUUUACUGGGUGUAAAGGGAGCGUAGACGGCGCGGCAAGUCUGAAGUGAAAGGGAGGGGCUUAACCCCUGAACUGCUUUGGAAACUGCCAUGCUAGAGUGCUGGAGAGGUAAGUGGAAUUCCUAGUGUAGCGGUGAAAUGCGUAGAUAUUAGGAGGAACACCAGUGGCGAAGGCGGCUUACUGGACAGUAACUGACGUUGAGGCUCGAAAGCGUGGGGAGCAAACAGGAUUAGAUACCCGGGUAGUC
This 441-nucleotide ribosomal RNA is filed under the name uncultured bacterium. RNAcentral describes it as "partial 16S ribosomal RNA". It matches the Rfam family "Bacterial small subunit ribosomal RNA", at positions 338 to 795 of the family's 1533-position model. The record is from RNAcentral.